This 3134-nucleotide long non-coding RNA is filed under the name Homo sapiens (human). Its description in RNAcentral is "non-protein coding AFDN-DT:13". The record is from RNAcentral. Lineage: Eukaryota; Metazoa; Chordata; Mammalia; Primates; Hominidae.
AGACGUAGAGAACGGACUGCAGAGUUAAUAAACGUCGAGGGGAAGCUUUGAUGCGCCCCAUUUGGCCCUGAGAGAUGCCACGUGAUCGUCAUUUUAAAUCCUUUCCUGGGCUUCCCGAUGGACUCGAGUUUUUACUAUGUGAGCAUCCCGGUGCCUGCACAGCAAGGACUCUCAUUGGGUUCCACACGUGCUGCGCAGAUCCCUGACGCAGCGUUCACUGAACCUCAACUGCAGGAGCUUCAUUCCUGAGGACGCUGUUACCAAGAAUGACUUGCCUCUUGAAGAAUGAGUUUGCAAAGCCGGCAGUUAGAUUGCUGAUGUCCAAAGACAUGAAAAUUUCCAGGCUGACAAAUAAUUUCGCUGUCAUCGGUCAAGACUCCAGGAUGAUAUUCUGAGCCAUAUGUUAAUUUUGAUAACCACCUAGAACAAUAAAAGGUAAACAUGCUACCAUCUUCUAUUCUCAUUGCACCACUGGAUUCUGGUACAUCUAAAAAUUGUACUUAAAUGAUAUCCAAGAAAUGCUGUAAAAAACAAAAUAGGGCCGGGCGCAGUGGCUCACACCUGUAAUCCCAGCAUUUUGGGAGGCCAAGGCGGGCAGAUCACGAGGUCAGGAGAUCAAGACCAUCCUGGCUAACACGGUGAAACCCCGUCUCUACUAAAAAUACAAAAAAAAAAAAAAUUAGCCGGGCAUGGUUGUGGGUGCCUGUAGUUCCAGCUACUCAGGAGGCUGAGGCAGGAGAAUGACGUGAACCCGGGAGGCGGAGGUUGCAGUGAGCUGAGACCGCGCCACUGCACUCCAGCCUGGGCGACAGAGCAAGACUCUGUCUCAAAAUAAAUAAAUAAAUAAAAGAAUGGGCUUUUCUGUUAUUAAUUCCAUUUUAUACAUGGUGAGACUGAAAUGCAAGAUAAAGGACUGGACUGAAGCUAAACAAACCUGCACUGGGCGAGGUUGAAAAAGACCUUUUUAAUCUAUAAGUCGGUUUUUGAAAAUUCAAGUUUCUACUUUAUAAUUUUAGUUUUCCUUUUAAACGUAUAUUAUUGUUAGUUGCACUGUUCAAAAAGUUUUACAGCUUCUAUUUCAAUCAGCACUGGUAUACUAAUAUUUUUAAGUAUCUCCUAUCUAAAACCAAAAUCUACGUAAAACCUAAAAGUACCAGGUAAUAGAGGACAACAGAGCAAGACUGUCUCUUAAAAAAAGAAGUAUCACAUAAUAGGAAUAAAUAUGAGGACAGAAAGUAAUAAUAUUUUUGAAUUUCUGAUUAAACUUUGCACUUACUUUAAAAUUUUUUUCGAAAUAUUAUGAAAACCAGGUUCUGAGACCAGCCACAUGAAAUAAACCUUUUCCUGCCCCAAUUUUCACAGCCUCUAGAAAAUAGUAGGUACCAGGGAAAAGAUUAAUACAUCUAAAAAAAAAAAGAUACAAAUAUAUCAACUAUGUUUAACUAUAUCAACUAUAUUUAGUACCCUAGGUCAUUUAAUUUUCUAGCCACCAAUAAAUUCCAUAUUUUAUUAAAUUAAUCAAAUUUUGAAAAGUGUCAAUAUUACUGUAUAAAUCAUCUUACAAGUCCUUUUAGUAGAUAUAUCAAUUUAGAGGAUGGUCUUUAGCAAAAAAAGUAAAGGAAAAGGAUUUAAUAAAGGUCCAAUAGCAGACCUUCUAGGGCAGGCAGCCUUCUAUAGUAGCCCAUGCAUGUGAAAGUUAAUCUAAUUAGUUGAUCUAUAAAGUUAAAUAACCAAACUCUCCUUUGCUUAACCCAUUGCUAGAAAGGCCAGUGUUGUUAAUUUCAUUUUUUAAACAAACAAGCAAAAAAAAUUCUAGAGGAUGAGUUUUUCAUAAGUAGGGUAUGUGCUACUUUAUUGGAAAAUGAAGAAAUAUAUCUUUCAACUCUGCUUCCUUCAUUGCUUUCCCGUGUUCCUAAUAUUUAGUCACAUUUUAGGUUAGAACUUUCAGGAAGUGAGUUUUUACACAGAAAUUAGUGCUAUAAACAGCCCUUAAAAUGGGAAUUUAAUCGUACUUAUUUAAAAUAUAUAUGUAUAUAAUCUUACCAACCCAGAAAGACAUGUUCUCUGGCAUUUUAUAAACUAAGAUGCUACUGGAAGGAAAAAGCUAAAUCUGAAAUACACAAACAACAUAUUUACACUGUGAUAUGGUUUAGAUCUGUAUGCCAAAGCUGAAUCUCAUGUCAGAUUGUAAUCUCCAAUGUUGGAGAUGGGGCCUAGGAGGAGGUGAUUGGAUUGGAUCAUGGGGGCGGAUUUCCUCCUUUGGUGCUAUUCUGGUGAUGGAGUUCUCACUAAAUCUUGUUGUUUAAAAGUGUGUGGUACCUCCCUUCCCCAGCUUCCUCCUGUUCCAGCCAGGUAAGACAUGUCUGCUUCCCCUUUGCCUUCUGCCAUGAUUGUAAGUUUCCUGAGGCCUCCCCAGCCAUGCUUCCUGUACAGCCUGCAGAACCAUGAGCCAAUUAAACCUCUUUUCUUUAUAAAUUACCUAGUCUCAGGUAUUUCUUUAUAGCAAUGCAAGAAUGGAAUGGACUAAUACACACUGAAUGCAAAGAAAUGAAAUGGUUGUGUGUGUGUGUGUGUGUGUGUGUGUGUGUGUGUGUAUGGAAGGUAUUAGAAGGGGAUUAUACCGUAAACAUGGGUCACUUACCUUUUACUGUGUUGGAGAAUUGCUUUGCACUAUCUUCUUUUUAUUCAGUACAUGUUGCAGACUAAGUUAAAAUGUGAUCAUAUAUAUCCUGAAAAUAAUGAAAGAAUAUCAGGCUGUGAGUAGAUUUGUGAAAGGGCGUCUCCCCUGCCUGCCUCCUUGUCCUCCUUUCCGCAUUCUGUCCAUCCUCAGCCGUGCGAGGUGUCGCUGCAUGCUGCUCUGGAAGUGCUCUCACUUCCAGAAUUUCUCCGUCCAGUGGCCCAUUUCGUCAGUUUCGGUUUCCCACUUUGAAAACCGAUCAACUGGCCGGGCGCGGUGGCUCACGUCUGUAAUCCCAGCACUUUGGUAGGCCGGGAUGGGCAGAUCACGAGGUCAGGAGAUCGAGACCAUCCUGGCUAACAGGGUGAAACCCCGUCUCUACUAAAAAAUACAAAAAAUUAGCCGGGCGUGGUGGCGGGCGCCUGUAGUCCCAGCUACUCCGGAGGCUGAGGCAGGA